Molecule: ribosomal RNA, 499 nt
Filed under: uncultured bacterium
Lineage: Bacteria
Description: partial 16S ribosomal RNA
Rfam family: Bacterial small subunit ribosomal RNA
Source: RNAcentral
GACGAACGCUGGCGGCGUGCCUAAUACAUGCAAGUCGAGCGGACUUUCAAGAAGCUGGCUUUUUGAAAGGUAGCGGCGGACGGGUGAGUAACACGUGGGCAACCUGCCUGCAAGACGGGGAUAACUCCGGGAAACCGGGGCUAAUACCGGAUAAUAUCUUCCUUCGCAUGAAGGAAGGUUGAAAGGCGGCGCAAGCUGCCGCUUGCAGAUGGGCCCGCGGCGCAUUAGCUAGUUGGUGAGGUAACGGCUCCCCAAGGCGACGAUGCGUAGCCGACCUGAGAGGGUGAUCGGCCACACUGGGACUGAGACACGGCCCAGACUCCUACGGGAGGCAGCAGUAGGGAAUCUUCCGCAAUGGACGAAAGUCUGACGGAGCAACGCCGCGUGAGCGAAGAAGGUCUUCGGAUCGUAAAGCUCUGUUGUCAGGGAAGAACAAGUACCGUUCGAACAGGGCGGUACCUUGACGGUACCUGACCAGAAAGCCACGGCUAACUACGUG